CAGCUGUCAUCGCCCCUCCCCCUGUGCAGAAUCGCUCAGGGUAUCGGACUGGCAUAUGCCACCUCCUUUAUUUUCUCUCCCCUCUCCCCAAACCUUUCCCUCCAUUCUUUCUUUUUAGCACCGGCUUUCCCCUUCUAUCCAUCCUCUGACUUUCUCUCUCCCCCCCCCGUCCCCCCGUCCCUGCUCUCUUGCUCUUCUCAUACCUCUGGGCAAUGUUAUCCUUCUACUCUCUCCUCUUUUUUUUGGUCUUUUCCUAUCAUCCUAUCCUUUCCCUCUUCCUCUAUCUCUCCGUUUCUUGCGCCAACCUCCUUCUAGCACCCAGUCUAUCUAUCUCCUUUAUAGCAGGUGCCCACUUCUUUUAUGCCAACUACAGCUGCGCGGUGGCGUGGCCAUGGGGGAAAACCCAGGGUGGGUGAUGAGUGCAUGUGGGGGGGGGGCAAGCUUGGUGUCCCUACCGGCAAAGAAACACCCACCCGCCCACCUCAAUCCGUACAGAGGCACGCACGCACGCACAUACACACACACAAAAACUGGAGUCCUUCGCUUCUCCUCUCGCCACCCUACAAUCCGCUGUUGAAAGUGGCACGGUGCCAGCCCAUAAAGAACCAUCUGUGCCCCCCCCGUCGGUAGCUCGGGCCCCUCCCCCUCUCUAUAGCACUAAUUGGCAGCUGAAUUAAUUAAAUCGUGGAUGCUAAUUAACAUUCUGUCUGUGCAAUGCUAAGGCGAGGGGGGGAAAGAGAGGCAAAGCAUAGAGGGUCUCCACUGGGCAUUGAGAGAAAGAGAGAAAAAGUGGGCACAGGAAGCGUCUGUGUUUGGAUGGCGGGUGGCAGGCGGGCAGAUCUGGUUUUAUCCCCAGCCCUGACAGGGGAGCAAAAUCUUUGGGCUUCAAAGUCGCAGGAACACAACAUUUCACAAGGAUGCCCAGUCCUAAGCCAGAGACAACAAGAACAAACUUCUCAUGAACUCCAAAUUGGGAAUGAAAGCUUUCUUGUGAUUGAUCCAAGUCUAAGAAUAAAAACAACCCUAAAACAACGAGUGAACGUCUCACUUAUUAUGUCUUCACCCUGAAACCCGUCACCCUGAGGCAACACAAGGAAUCAGACUCGUUUCCAAAGAAAGGCAAAAAAAGGGGGACCUGUUCCUGCAUUUUGGCAGCUCACAAAAAAAAUUAACUUUGCUCAGAUCAACAAAACAAGAUCGCACAAUCUGGGAAAACGGGGAGCUUUCUUAAUACCUGGUCUUCUUCCACUGUUUUAAUUCCCCAACCAACAUUUAACUUUUGUCUCACGUUAUAAUAUAAUCUUUAACGGGCUGAAGGUACAAGCCAUUCGUUAAUUUCCAUUAAAGAUGUUUUAAGUGUGUGUGUGUGUGCGUUUUAAAGCAUAUUUUCAUAUAUAGCAGGGGAAUAACUUCAAGAAGUCCAGGAGACCCACAAACCUGCCCCUGGAUUUUAAAGAGGGCGGUGUCCACUCAAGCAAAGGCCACCCUAAAAUAUUUUUCAUGCAAAAUUGCUUUUUAAACUGAAAAAGACUCUCUCUCUCUCUCUCUCUCUCUCUCUCUCUCACACACACACACACACACACACACACAGACAUGACCAACAUAUUUGGGCAGGAUCCUGUUGGCAUCUGUGUACGUUUUGAUGAGGUGCCUGAUCACAUACCAUCCCUCACGAGUUGAUAUCUUUUUCAAAAAAAGUUUUACGUAUAAAGGUGAGGAGGUGAUGGCGUUAUGUUUUGGUUCUAAAACCAUGAGGUGGGAGGAGUCCAUGUUGCCAUCUCGAUAUCCAGCAUAGCAGGUAAAGCAACAAAAUGUUGCAGUGUGAAGUGCUCCUUCCCCGCCACACAUGGGUAUAAACUCCCAGGUCGGCCGAUCGUGUCGGUUCAUUUAUUGGCAGAACAGGUUUUUCGGUGCUUCAAAGCUCCACCUCCUCUGGCGCGCGUCCACUUAGAUAUUAUUUUUAUUUAAUUUUAAACCAGCCUCCUCCUAUUUAAUUUUUAAUUCUUUCACAUACUAAGUCAUUGGUCCUUCCAACAUACUAAGUCAUUAGUUAGCGGCUGUAAUGACU
Molecule: long non-coding RNA, 2068 nt
Organism: Pogona vitticeps (central bearded dragon)
Lineage: Eukaryota; Metazoa; Chordata; Lepidosauria; Squamata; Agamidae
Source: Ensembl